GCGAGAUCGGCGCGCGCUCGCCCGUGCCCUGCGCGGGCUCCUCCCUCCAGUCAAGUUGUCUCGCGGCGUCUGAGCAGCCUGCGCUCUGUGCGGUGGCACCACUGUCCUGCAUCAGAGGUCCACAUCCCCUGCAUUUCCAGAUACCUCAACUACUUUCAGCCCACCGUGGAUUGUGUAGCACUGUAGGAUUUACUACUGGAAACAGCUGUGUGCAUGCGGACCUGCGUGGUUCAAACCUAUGUUGUUUGUCUACACACUUAUACAUGGUAGAAUUUCUGUCCUUCAACACAGAAGAUCAGAAGCAUUUAGCUCCCCAAAUCACCACCACUGACAGGUGCCUGUGCUCAGGGCUGGAGAAGCCUGUGUGCGGGGCACCUCUGCUGUGUGCUUUCUGUGGAUCUACUCCUGGCAAAGCCUGAACUGAAACUAACGAAGUUCCCUUGUUGGGGGUGGAACGGCAGGACAGGCACUGUACUGGGGAUCUGCUGCAGUGACCGCCUACUGAGAUUCACCAGGACAGACCAGAGCAUGAUGGGGCUGGUGUGUGCAGGACACCUCCUGCUGAGACCCAGCAAGCAGCAGUGUGGACCAGGAAUUUUUUCAAACAGAUGGAGAACAGUCCACUUAAAGAAGACUGUCCGGGACAAACACUGGGUCCAGUAUUUAAAGCUGGUGCAGGGAAGGUGGAAGCUGCUCAGGGGCAAGGACAGUGUCUCCACGUGGGGUCAGUGUUUGCCACCAAGGGCUCUGUCAUGAGCUGUGUCUAGCACGGCAGCACCUGCUUUCUUGGCUGAACCACUCUGCAGGGACGGCACUUUGCUCUGCCAGGGCCCAGGGGGCUGCUCCUGAGUCUGACAGUGGUUUUGGUGAGUCAUGGCGCCCGCACAGCAAAGGGCAGGAGGUGCCUAACGAGCCGUUGCCACAGCACUUGGACUAAUCAGGAGCCAUCACAGAGGCACCCGGCACGUCUCCUGGGAGGGGUGCAGGAGGAAGACGCCCAACACAGACGCUGUGGCCACAGACAGGAUCACCAAGCAAGAAGGUAGGGUCUCCCUGGAUCACGGAGCUCGGCUUGAAACAGUACAGACACUCAGUGCUGACAGCUGGGGUGGGGGGCGGUCAGAGGCCCAGGAAGGCUACUGUGAUCCCAGGCCCUUUCCCUCCUCUGACCUCAGUGUUCCAAUGACAGGGACCUAUGAUACUCAGUGCAUGACGGGGUGUAGUCAUCAAAGGAGAACUCUGUCUUUUUUAUUCAUAUAAUUCUGAUGUUGGUCUGACACCACCAUUCCUUUGGGAAUUAGGUUCACUAGAGAGGCCGCUCAGCAUUCUCAUUGCUGUGGGACAUUUUCCCCUGUGAACUCAAAAAUGGUGCCUGAAAACAACAGGAAGGUCUCAGAGAACUCAGCUUUUAGAAAACAAAUAACAAAUAAUAUAAAUGUAAUAUUUUAGUUAGAAAUGUUUACUUUAUGAAACCUGUUUGAAUGGGCUGCUCCAAUAGAACUGAGUUCUCUAAAUAACCAGCAGCUCCGUGAUGGGUUAUGACGGCUGAAGGCUGGAAGGGGGCGCGUCUCCUCCACAGUCUAAGUAUGUUCACCCCGCCUUGCCCCUCGACUAUCACUGGGAUUCGGAAAGGACAGAGAAGAGCGUCCGUGAAAAUCGCCCGUGAUCCUAACACCAGAGAGCACCAGUGACACCCCGGCCCAGGGGCGUCAGACAGCCCAUCCGCACGCCUGCACAGGCCUCAUGCUCUUCGAUGGCUCUUCCCUCUGCCUGGCUCUUUCAUCCUGAAAACCAUCCACAGGCGUUCAGGGCCCGCCUGGCUCCCUGCCCUGACCCCUCCAGCCAAUCACUGUGACCCUGAUGUCUUUGUCCUUGACGCUGCUUCCUCACCUUCUGAGGUGCCCCCCUUCGAUUAGGUCCUUUCUGUGUCUGUCUGUCUUCCUCACUAGAAUGAAAACUCUGAGGGUAGGACCUUUUGUCCUUCAUUCACUGCUGCAUCCCCAGUGCCUGGAACAUUGCCCAGCACAUAACAGGUGUUCCAAAAAAGGCUUGUAGAGUGAAUAGCUCCUCAGCAAGUCACACAGGCACUUAAGUGAGGCAGGAGGAGCCGCUUAAAACCUCUUGAGGCAGUUUUAUCAACAAAUGUACUUGUGGUAAAAAAGAAAAAAAAAAAGUAGCUAUUGUGUCAGGAGCUGCUUCAGCUGUGUUACAGUGUUGAGAAGCGAGUGUCCCGCACUGAACAAGGAUCCUGGAAUGUGCACUUCUAGGUCCCUACAGUCAAGUCAAAGGUGGUUUCAAUUGUAUUUUUUUCUGCCAAGUUCCAGGAGCCAGGGAUAGAGACCAAUGUUAAAUCAUUGUUUUAUGACUUCAUGGCAUGACUCCCAACAAUAUUGGAAUCCAGCAGAUUCAUCUCAGUGAUGCCUGCAGGUGGGAGACAAACCAUAAUGUAGGAGAGAUGGGGCAGCUGGAAGGACAUUUUGGAAACUGCUAACAAUAGAGUCUUUGCAUAAACGAUUUGUAAGUAAUAAACACUAAGACCCCUAAGAGCUUACCAACUUCACUCAACAGAAACUAGGAGAAAAGAGCACUUUAAAAAAAUGGAACAGAAGAAGCCAAUUAAGUGAAGGACGCUCUGUCCUACCUAGAGCCGCUAGGAACUCAUGACAUCCCGGGAGCCGCCACAGCUGGACGCUGAUGGAGACCUGAAUGGGGGCCGAUGUGAAGUCCUGCUCCUUCUCACUGGCCUGCAGCUGGACCAGCACCUGGUGGAGCUGAGUGGGGAGAGCGUCAGCGCCCGCUGCGUCCGGCCCCCCACGAUUUGUCCCUAAGUUUUUCCUGUGUCACCUGUUCUUGUCAUUUCUAACGACCUUACAUGGGGGCAGCAUCUGAAAUUCUUUUCACAGUGCCUUUA
Molecule: long non-coding RNA, 2911 nt
Organism: Camelus dromedarius (Arabian camel)
Lineage: Eukaryota; Metazoa; Chordata; Mammalia; Artiodactyla; Camelidae
Exons: 5
Source: RefSeq, a predicted model, not a curated record